Molecule: transfer RNA, 73 nt
Filed under: Trachymyrmex septentrionalis
Lineage: Eukaryota; Metazoa; Arthropoda; Insecta; Hymenoptera; Formicidae
Rfam family: tRNA
About the family: Transfer RNA (tRNA) molecules are approximately 80 nucleotides in length.
Source: Rfam by way of RNAcentral
GCCUCGAUGGUCUAAAGGCUUAAGACGCUUGCAUGGAAUGCUAAAAAUCCGGAUUCGACUCCCGGUCAAGGUA